Molecule: ribosomal RNA, 394 nt
Filed under: uncultured bacterium
Lineage: Bacteria
Description: bacterial SSU rRNA
Rfam family: Bacterial small subunit ribosomal RNA
Source: RNAcentral
UAUUGCACAAUGGGGGAAACCCUGAUGCAGCGACGCCGCGUGAGUGAAGAAGUAUCUCGGUACGUAAAGCUCUAUCAGCAGGGAAGAAAAUGACGGUACCUGACUAAGAAGCCCCGGCUAACUACGUGCCAGCAGCCGAGGUAAUCAGUAGGGGGCAAGCGUUAUCCGGAUUUACUGGGUGUAACGGGAGCGUAGGCGGCAGCGCAAGUCUGGAGUGAAAUGCCGGGGCCCAACCCCGGAACUGCUUUGGAAACUGUGCAGCUCGAGUGCAGGAGAGGUAAGCGGAAUUCCUAGUGUAGCGGUGAAAUGCGUAGAUAUUAGGAGGAACACCAGUGGCGAAGGCGGCUUACUGGACUGUAACUGACGUUGAGGCUCGAAAGCGUGGGGAGCAAAC